Molecule: ribosomal RNA, 3021 nt
Filed under: Erwinia amylovora
Lineage: Bacteria; Pseudomonadati; Pseudomonadota; Gammaproteobacteria; Enterobacterales; Erwiniaceae
Description: 23S ribosomal RNA
Rfam family: Bacterial large subunit ribosomal RNA
Source: RNAcentral
GGGUUGUGAGGUUAAGCGACUAAGCGUACACGGUGGAUGCCCAGGCAGUCAGAGGCGAUGAAGGGCGUGCUAAUCUGCGAUAAGCGUCGGUAAGGUGAUAUGAACCGCAACAACCGACGAUACCCGAAUGGGGAAACCCAGUGCAAUCCGUUGCACUAUCAUGUCAUGAAUACAUAGUGGCAUGAGGCGAACCGGGGGAACUGAAACAUCUAAGUACCCCGAGGAAAAGAAAUCAACCGAGAUUCCCCCAGUAGCGGCGAGCGAACGGGGAACAGCCCAGAACCUGAAUCAGUUUGUGCCUUAGUGGAAGCGUCUGGAAAGUCGCGCAGUAAAGGGUGACAGCCCCGUACACAAAAAGGCACUUGCUGUGAGUUCGAUGAGUAGGGCGGGACACGUGACAUCCUGUCUGAAUAUGGGGGACCAUCCUCCAAGGCUAAAUACUCCUGACUGACCGAUAGUGAACCAGUACCGUGAGGGAAAGGCGAAAAGAACCCCGGCGAGGGGAGUGAAACAGAACCUGAAACCGUGUACGUACAAGCAGUGGGAGCACCUUCGUGGUGUGACUGCGUACCUUUUGUAUAAUGGGUCAGCGACUUAUAUUCUGUAGCAAGGUUAACCGUAUAGGGGAGCCGCAGGGAAACCGAGUCUUAACUGGGCGUUAAGUUGCAGGGUAUAGACCCGAAACCCGGUGAUCUAGCCAUGGGCAGGUUGAAGGUUGGGUAACACUAACUGGAGGACCGAACCGACUAAUGUUGAAAAAUUAGCGGAUGACCUGUGGCUGGGGGUGAAAGGCCAAUCAAACCGGGAGAUAGCUGGUUCUCCCCGAAAGCUAUUUAGGUAGCGCCUCGUGAAUUCAUCUCCGGGGGUAGAGCACUGUUUCGGCUAGGGGGCCAUCCCGGCUUACCAACCCGAUGCAAACUGCGAAUACCGGAGAAUGUUAUCACGGGAGACACACGGCGGGUGCUAACGUCCGUCGUGAAGAGGGAAACAACCCAGACCGCCAGCUAAGGUCCCAAAGUCAUGGUUAAGUGGGAAACGAUGUGGGAAGGCACAGACAGCCAGGAUGUUGGCUUAGAAGCAGCCAUCAUUUAAAGAAAGCGUAAUAGCUCACUGGUCGAGUCGGCCUGCGCGGAAGAUGUAACGGGGCUAAACCAUGCACCGAAGCUGCGGCAGCGGACGUAUCACCCAAGCAGAUUCACUGAAGUGGAUAACGAUUGACGGAGCGCAGCGACGUCAAUGCGCCAUCAAAGUCGAGUCGACUUCGGGAUACGUCCGUUGGGUAGGGGAGCGUUCUGUAAGCCGUCGAAGGUGUGCUGUGAGGCAUGCUGGAGGUAUCAGAAGUGCGAAUGCUGACAUAAGUAACGAUAAAGCGGGUGAAAAGCCCGCUCGCCGGAAGACCAAGGGUUCCUGUCCAACGUUAAUCGGGGCAGGGUGAGUCGACCCCUAAGGCGAGGCCGAAAGGCGUAGUCGAUGGGAAACGGGUUAAUAUUCCCGUACUGGGUGUUACUGCGAAGGGGGGACGGAGAAGGCUAUGUUAGCCGGGCGACGGUUGUCCCGGUUUAAGCGUGCAGGCUUGAGUUCCAGGCAAAUCCGGAACUCUUUAAGGCUGAGGCGUGAUGACGAGGCACCACGGUGCUGAAGUAACAAAUGCCCUGCUUCCAGGAAAAGCCUCUAAGCAUCAGGUAACAUCCAAUCGUACCCCAAACCGACACAGGUGGUCAGGUAGAGAAUACCAAGGCGCUUGAGAGAACUCGGGUGAAGGAACUAGGCAAAAUGGUGCCGUAACUUCGGGAGAAGGCACGCUGGCGCGUAGGUGAAGCGACUUGCUCGUGGAGCUGAAGCCAGUCGAAGAUACCAGCUGGCUGCAACUGUUUAUUAAAAACACAGCACUGUGCAAACACGAAAGUGGACGUAUACGGUGUGACGCCUGCCCGGUGCCGGAAGGUUAAUUGAUGGGGUUAUCCGUAAGGAGAAGCUCUUGAUCGAAGCCCCGGUAAACGGCGGCCGUAACUAUAACGGUCCUAAGGUAGCGAAAUUCCUUGUCGGGUAAGUUCCGACCUGCACGAAUGGCGUAAUGAUGGCCAGGCUGUCUCCACCCGAGACUCAGUGAAAUUGAACUCGCUGUGAAGAUGCAGUGUACCCGCGGCAAGACGGAAAGACCCCGUGAACCUUUACUACAGCUUGACACUGAACAUUGAGCCUUGAUGUGUAGGAUAGGUGGGAGGCUUUGAAGCGUGGACGCCAGUCUGCGUGGAGCCAACCUUGAAAUACCACCCUUUAACGUUUGAUGUUCUAACCUGGCGCCGUAAUCCGGCGUGGGGACAGUGUCUGGUGGGUAGUUUGACUGGGGCGGUCUCCUCCCAAAGAGUAACGGAGGAGCACGAAGGUCAGCUAAUCACGGUCGGACAUCGUGAGGUUAGUGCAAUGGCAUAAGCUGGCUUGACUGCGAGAGUGACGGCUCGAGCAGGUGCGAAAGCAGGUCAUAGUGAUCCGGUGGUUCUGAAUGGAAGGGCCAUCGCUCAACGGAUAAAAGGUACUCCGGGGAUAACAGGCUGAUACCGCCCAAGAGUUCAUAUCGACGGCGGUGUUUGGCACCUCGAUGUCGGCUCAUCACAUCCUGGGGCUGAAGUAGGUCCCAAGGGUACGGCUGUUCGCCGUUUAAAGUGGUACGCGAGCUGGGUUUAGAACGUCGUGAGACAGUUCGGUCCCUAUCUGCCGUGGGCGCUGGAAGAUUGAGAGGGGUUGCUCCUAGUACGAGAGGACCGGAGUGAACGCACCGCUGGUGUUCGGGUUGUCAUGCCAAUGGCAUUGCCCGGUAGCUAAGUGCGGAAAAGAUAAGCGCUGAAAGCAUCUAAGCGCGAAACUUGCCUCGAGAUGAAUCUUCCCUGACUCCUUGAGAGUCCUGAAGGGACGUUGAAGACGACGACGUUGAUAGGCCGGGUGUGUAAGCGCAGCGAUGCGUUGAGCUAACCGGUACUAAUGACCCGUGAGGCUUAACCUUACAACGCCAGAAGCGUUCUG